RNAcentral lists this long non-coding RNA (434 nucleotides) under Monodelphis domestica (gray short-tailed opossum). RNAcentral describes it as "lncRNA (ENSMODG00000032424.2)". The record is from RNAcentral. Lineage: Eukaryota; Metazoa; Chordata; Mammalia; Didelphimorphia; Didelphidae.
CCACUCUUCUCCUGUCAUUAUGUGCUGAUGUAGGCAGGCUAUAAAUUCUAUGUAGUUCCACCUCUCGCCCUCUUCUCUUCCUGUGGUGGCAGCUGUGGACAUGGGGUUUGGGAGCAGAUAGAAAAGCUUAGGCACAUGGUUUUAUUUUGUUAGAUAAUUACUUUUUUAUUCCUUUACUUCAACCACUCCAAACUUCAGACUCCACCACCCUGAUCAGUCAGCACCCAACAGCAAAGAGGCAAGAUCCAACACCAGCAAAAAGAUUAAGAUUUGCUGAAUGUUCAGAAUACGAUCCUGAUCAGAGCUCCAGGCUCCAAGAAGAGACAAGCAGCAGCAGAGUUAAAAAUGUCCUGUCUUUCCACACCACAUCUUCCUACACUGAUGGGGCAGCUUACAUGAUGAGUCUGUCUUCCCUGAGGACUCACAGGACUUAA